RNAcentral lists this long non-coding RNA (236 nucleotides) under Physcomitrium patens. RNAcentral's name for it is "long non-coding RNA (PPAT_LNC001460)". Lineage: Eukaryota; Viridiplantae; Streptophyta; Bryopsida; Funariales; Funariaceae. The record is from RNAcentral.
AUUAUAAAAUAAAAUAAAAUAUCUAAGAAAAGAAUAGGACUUUAUUAGGUAUUCUAUAAAGUUCUAGUGAUCUAAUUCUUAUUAUAGCUAGUCAAACUUAUUUUUUAAUAUAAUAUUUCUUUUGGCAAUCAUGCUCAUUAUUUUUUUAUUAUAUUUCAUUUUUGGAGAAUGUUAAAUAAUAUACUUAUAUUAUCCACAAUAUAAGUACAAUCUUUUUUAACCACAUUGAGUCUUUU